Long non-coding RNA from Anguilla rostrata (American eel), 3626 nucleotides. RefSeq lists it as uncharacterized. The record is from RefSeq and is a predicted model, not a curated record. Lineage: Eukaryota; Metazoa; Chordata; Actinopteri; Anguilliformes; Anguillidae. The transcript has 4 exons.
GAGGGGGGGAGAAAAAAAAAGAGAGAGAGAGAGAGAGAGGGGGGGGGGGGGGGGGGGGGGAAGCUGCUGUUUGAAAGAGCAGAAGGCUGCCCCGCGCUGCUUCACAGGAAGACUUCAGACCGGAGGAGUGCACUGGGGAGGACAGUGCUCUCUGGCCCUCCGUGUGUCACUCACUCCGCUUAAAGAAGCGCGGCCUUUUGCAGAUUGUAUCAGUGAUCCUGAGACAAUGAAAAGGCAGAUCCUUCAGCCAUCACUGCUCGUCUGCACAGUCCUGCGGUUCUGCUCACGCACCCCGAGGGUACAGAAUCCCCCCCCUCCUCUCUCCCUACCUCCCUCUCUCUCUCUCUCUCUCUUUCUCCCCCUCUCUCUGUUGUUUUUUUUGUUUUUACAGUGCAAACAGUAGUUUUUCCUCCUCAUUUGGCCUUACUGCUUUCAGUUUGACAAAGGAGCCCAGCAGAUGCGAGGCACUCUCUCACAUAAAGUCAUUAGGUAAAUGACCGAGCCUCUCAUAAUCGGAGCAGACUGGCCUGUCUUACCAGCAGCCUAGUGGAAGCCCUCCAUCAACAAGUAGCCGCCACUGCUGUUUGCAAGGCCCGGCCUGCACACGCAGUGGCAAAGGUUCCUGUUGCCUUGGAUACAGGGCAGAAGAGCAGUCAGAUCCGGGAGGCGAAGCAGUUUCCUGGUUGCAAUUUGCAUAGAAGAUUAAAUUUUAAAACCCAGUUCACCUCUCAGAAUAUUGUAAGCAAUGUAGAAAGGAUCCGGUUGCAGACCUAUCUGAGAGACAGCACACACCACCUCCAGAGAAUUAAAGAACAAAAGGAAAACAGUAUGAACUGUGAAGUGAACAAAGGGCUAACAUGAUGUGCUAAAGUCAGGACUGAAGACAUCUGGCACAGAAUUGGACCUGAGACUUUUCGGUUAAUUGUUCUCCCUGAACGGAUCCAGUCGCUCCCUCCCUGGUUUCUUCCUACAGCUGGAUUGGGUCACCACCAGGGAAACGGUCUGCAUGGAAGUGGGCUGAGCAGAAGGAGGUGUCUACAUAUCAUGCAAUGUUCAGACUGCCUUUAAACCAGGAUCUGCGGGUCACUGACACACACAAAUGUCAAACACCACUUUUAUUCUCAGCACUUCUAUAACAUUUGAUUUAUUCAGUGCCGUAAAAUAUAACAAUGCUCUCAUGUUUUUCACAUACUGAAAUUCUCAUGCACCGUUAACAGCCGAUACCAGUGAUAGUCUGCUCUACAGCAUGCAUAAAUUAAACCUUAAUCUGUUUUUGUGACUUUAUUUAGAUUUUAGAAGUUCGAAGAAAAAUGGAAAUACUGCAUAUUGUUGCUGAAUGGACCAAUUGCUGGAAUGAAUAAGACAAACAUAUUUAUACUAUUUCAUGCUGCUUUUUUAAUGCAGGUGCUUUGGAUUAGUGUCCUAUCAUAUUACCUAUGAUGCAAAAUAACUUGCCCCUGGUAAGUGUGGCAUGUUUUUCUUUAUUUUGAAAAAAUGAAAAGGAAAACUGGUUUUUCAUAAAAAUCAUUCUUUUUUGUGUCUUUCUUGAAAAUCAGACAGUAGGAUCUAUAAUACCUGUAGAUUACUCAAGGUAACUUAGCCAUGAAACCUGAGAGUGUGAGAGCCUGAACUGUUAGCCGAGGCCAACAAUACUCUCAUGGGACACAUUCCAGAGGCCAUAGCGGCCCAGCUCUGAAUAUUUUUAGACAUUUUCCUCUAAAGUAUUAAUUCUCUUAAAUAACCGUACAUUGUUUCUGACACUUAAUGAAUAUUAUGAAUUCAACCAGCAAAUCAUUACAUUUUAAUAGCCCUUUUGUCUUUUAUUUUUAAACCUGAGGUUUUUGCAAAAUAAGUUUUGUUACAUUUGGAUCCUUCUCCUGUUGAUUUAUGUUUUUUGGUUGUUAGAUAAAACAUGCUGCCUGAAUAACCUGAUAAGCUCAUAUUUUACACAUGGGUAUGUUAUAACAGUCAGCAGUCUUCACUGUGUUUAACACUGGGCAUUUCUCAGAUGCAUAAAAGGAAUCAUAGAGCCAUACCAUGAUCUAUAUUUUCUUCAUACAAAUCUGUGAAUACUGACAUUAAUUAAAUUAACUAAUGAGCAUAUGCCUCUUGGAUUUCUGUAUCCAGCUUUUAAAUCCUGAAGAUUCCUGAUACAUUGAUACUGUGGGAAAAAAACCUGUAAAUGUGAAUUGUGACACAUACCCACUGACAUACACUAUGUGAGCAAAAUUAUCUGGACACCCCUUGGUCUGGGGCUGUUUAUCAAGGUUUGGGCUAGGCCCCUUAGUUCCAUUGAAGGCAAAUCUUAGUGCUACAGCAUACAAUUACAUUCUAGAUGAUUCUGAGCUACCCCAACAGUUUUGGGAUGACCGUUUCCUGUUUCAGCAUGAUAAUGCGUCCGGGCACAUAGCAAGGACCAUAUAGAAACUAUUUUGUCAAAAACUAUGUUGAAGAACUUGACAGGCCUGCACAGAGCCCUGUCCUCGGCCCCAUCCAACACCUUUGGGAUCAUUUGGAAAGCCAACUGUCAGCCAGAUGUAAUCAUCCAACUGGUGCCUGACCUCACUAAUGCUAUUUUGGCUGAAUUUAAACACAUCUCCAAAAACUAGUAUAAAGCCUUCCCAGAAGUAUGGAGGUUGUUGUAGCAGCAAUGGGUGGACCAACACCAUAUUAAUGCCAGUAAUUUUAGACGAGAUGUUGCUUGUCAGGUGUCCACCUACUUUUGGCUAUGUAGUGUAUUUGUCCACACAUACAUAAAAUAUCCAGUAACUUGUGAUUCAAUCAUUUCUUAGUUGCAGAAACAAUGUGAUUUGAUGUAAUUUCAUAACGUUCAAUAACUUACUUUGCAGUUGGUGUUUGGACUAGACUAAAAAAUCACUGAAAUUCACUGCUUCCGAUAAUAGUUCAAAUUAUAUUGCCAUUAUAAGCUUGUGUGUGCUGAGUCGGAUGAAAUAUUAAUGAAAUACUCAACUAUUGGCCACAACAAUUUUAUUCCCUCUAAAGACUAUUAACAUUGCAAUAGUGUUUUUGGGUGUUAGAAUUAAGACAGCCUCCAAAAUCCUGGAUUAUCUUUGUCCAUUAGAACAUGCUAUGAUUAUAAAAUCAUGUGUCAUUAUUGCUUGAAUGUGAAUCGUGACAAAUAGACCCUGCCAGAUUUCAUGGACUCAUUCUAUUACUAAUGUUACUAAUACCAAAUAAAAACUUCUACCGGUCUAUAAAGGUUAGCAAAUUUUGCUUAAAAAAUAAGAAAAAUCUUUAAAUUAUUAUCUUCUUUAAUACAAUCUCUCUCGAAACCUGCUGAAAAAUAAUAAUAAUGACAAUGUUCACACAGAAGUACUGAAAUGCAGUGUACCGAAGUGCUCCCCAUUCCCAACACAGCCCCCACUUUGCAUUCAUUUUUGUUACAGCAUGACGUACAUACAGUAUCUCUUGCUUCAUCAAAGCAGAUUUCAUAUGCAAAUUAGUUUUCAUAUUUAUGGCAUGCCCAAAUGCCCAAAUAAUGAAAUUAGAAGAAACUUCAGUUGUUCCUUUGAGAAAUGACAUCUUGUCUUAAUAUUUUAUUUUUAUGCUGUGGUUUCUAUUCUCAACCAAAAAAUCUAAAGCAUUGUUCCCUCAUUGGUAAUGCC